CAGUGUCUCCCUUCUGUCCAGGUAAACCAGGUGAUCCAGGAUUUCCAGAGUAGCCUUUCUCACCCUUCACUCCUCCAGAACCUGGUGGUCCACGGGGCCCCUCUGGGCCAGGAGGACCUUUACAAUACCGAUAAGGUCAUUUCUGGAAUGAGAAGAACCUGACCUUCUGGGCCUGUCACCAAGCGUCAUCAGGAGAAGGUGGAGCCACACCACAGGAGACAGGAAAUAAAGGUGAAGACACGCACAUAAACGGAAACACACAGCAUUACACUACUGAUCAUCCUCUUUUUGAAUCACUGGAUUCAGCAUUACACCAGACAGACAUCACACUGUGGAGAGAGGAAAAGAGCUUUCGUUCCUCAGGAAAAAAGAGGGGUAAGGGAGUCGAGACACAUGAGGAAGA
Molecule: long non-coding RNA, 403 nt
Organism: Pangasianodon hypophthalmus (striped catfish)
Lineage: Eukaryota; Metazoa; Chordata; Actinopteri; Siluriformes; Pangasiidae
Exons: 3
Source: RefSeq, a predicted model, not a curated record